RNAcentral lists this ribosomal RNA (921 nucleotides) under Talaromyces ucrainicus. RNAcentral's name for it is "LSU rRNA". It matches the Rfam family "Eukaryotic large subunit ribosomal RNA", at positions 38 to 966 of the family's 3401-position model. Lineage: Eukaryota; Fungi; Ascomycota; Eurotiomycetes; Eurotiales; Trichocomaceae. The record is from RNAcentral.
GCUAUCAAUAAGCGGAGGAAAAGAAAUCACCGGGAUUGCCUCAGUUAACGGCGAGUGAAGCGGCAAGAGCUCAAAUUUGAAAUCUGGCCCCCCCGGGGUCCGAGUUGUAAUUUGGAGAGGAUGCUUCGGGCACGGUCCCCAUCUAAGUGCCCCUGGAACGGGCUGUCACAGAGGGUGAGAACCCCGUAUGGGAUGGGCGGCCGCGCCCGUGUGAAGCUCCUUCGACGAGUCGAGUUGUUUGGGAAUGCAGCUCUAAGCGGGUGGUAAAUUUCAUCUAAAGCUAAAUACUGGCCGGAGACCGAUAGCGCACAAGUAGAGUGAUCGAAAGAUGAAAAGCACUUUGAAAAGAGAGUUAAACAGCACGUGAAAUUGUUGAAAGGGAAGCGUUGGCCACCAGACGCGCCCGGGAGGGCUCAACCGGCACCUGUGCCGGCGUACUCCCCCCCGGGCGGGUCAGCAUCGGUUUGGACGGUCGCAGAAAGGCCCCGGGAAUGUAGCACCCUCCGGGGUGCCUUAUAGCCUGGAGUGUCAUGCGGCCCGCCUGGACCGAGGCCCGCGCUUCGGCGAGGAUGCUGGCGUAAUGGUGGUCAACGGCCCGUCUUGAAACACGGACCAAGGAGUCUAACAUCUAUGCGAGUGUUCGGGUGUCAAACCCGUCCGCGCAGUGAAAGCGAACGCAGGUGGGAACCCCCCCUUCCGGGGGGGCGCACCAUCGACCGAUCCUGAUGUCCUCGGGAUGGAUUUGAGUAAGAGCAUAGCUGUUGGGACCCGAAAGAUGGUGAACUAUGCCUGAAUAGGGCGAAGCCAGAGGAAACUCUGGUGGAGGCUCGCAGCGGUUCUGACGUGCAAAUCGAUCGUCAAAUUUGGGUAUAGGGGCGAAAGACUAAUUCGAACCAUCUUGGUAGCUGGUUCCUGCCGAAG